CUCUUCAUGUGCAGCCCUACAUACAGCUGUGAAACAGACCUCUAUUUAACCAGAUAGAAAUCAUUUGAGAGGAAGGAAAACAAUGGAAAAGAUUUUUUUUGUGAUUUUUUCAUAAAUCAUAAAAUAACAAAAUAUAAUAAUGUGGAUGCACAGAUAUUUGCAAAAAGAUAAAUAAGCAACCUAGAAAAUGGUAUAAAGAAAAAUGAGUUCAACGUCUUUAUAUUCCACCGAGGUCUGCAAUAGUUUCUGCUUCAGAAUUAUAAUCAAAUGGUAGCAAUGUUAGCAAUAGCCCUAACCUUACCAUGUAUUGUGAGUGUAAACAUAUGAUCCAACAGGGUGUAGCUUACAUUUUAUUUUUCUCUAAGUGUUCCCUCAAUCAAUGAAAAGGAUCAACAAUGAUGCAACCUAAAACCACUCUGGUAGGUUUAUUUUCCUUACUUAUCCUCCCUUACCACUCCUCCUCUUCCUCCUCCUUUUCCUUAAAUUAGACUCAUCUCCACCUUUAAAUUCACUAAACUUUUGUCUGUCAGGGACACUUUGCACAGUUUUCCUUUCCAAUUUUGUAUUUUUAAUUUUUCAUGAUGUCCUGCACAAUUACUAAUUUCUUUAUCCUCCUUUUUGUCACAGCUCAUGUCAUCACUGCAGCUGAAGGUGAGUAAGAGCAGCUGGUCCUUUGUUUGUUCUUUGAGAUCUUUUAGAGUAUAUUUUAGUGUAUUUUUACUUUUGGACAUAUGUCUUUGAAGCCAGUUGUUUUGUUUGCUCAUAGCUGAGACUUUCCUUAUUGAUGUUGCAGAACUUGAUGGUUCAGCUAUCGACACCUGUAUGAUUUUUCCUGUUCCUGAUUUGACCACUGUCACCAAUACUAAGGAUGCAAUAAUCACGCCUGUCACAACAAUGCAGGUGGUGACCACCACAACCUCAAACCUAGAACGCAUUAAACAACCACCACUUGUAACAAGACCAAUCACAAAUCAUCAGUCUGAUCUUCUCCGCAUUCUGUUGGAAAACAUCAGACAUCAUGUCAAUUCUCAACCCAGACUCACAGGUUUCAUCUCUCACCAGCAUAAAAAAACCUCAGAUAGCUCUGAGUCAGCUGCACAGCAAGGCUCACUUUCUUCAGAUUCAAGCGAUGAGUCUUAGUAUCAAAACUCUUAAGAAUUUGGAAUGUUUUUGUAUUUGUAGUAUUGAUGUCAAAGAUGUAAUUAAUGUACCUGUAACAAGUAUCGACAAUAUGUUUUGCAGUAAAACUAUUCUGUUGCCCUUGGAUUUUUUUAUUUUUUUAUUUAAGGUUUAUGAGUGGGAAC
RNAcentral lists this long non-coding RNA (1304 nucleotides) under Takifugu rubripes (torafugu). RNAcentral's name for it is "lncRNA (ENSTRUG00000030018.1)". Lineage: Eukaryota; Metazoa; Chordata; Actinopteri; Tetraodontiformes; Tetraodontidae. The record is from RNAcentral.